This 253-nucleotide ribosomal RNA is filed under the name uncultured bacterium. Its description in RNAcentral is "partial 16S ribosomal RNA". It matches the Rfam family "Bacterial small subunit ribosomal RNA", at positions 524 to 776 of the family's 1533-position model. The record is from RNAcentral.
GACGAACCGUGCGAACGUUGUUCGGAAUCACUGGGCUUAAAGGGCGCGUAGGCGGACCGGCGAGUCAGGGGUGAAAGCCCGCGGCCCAACCGCGGAAGUGCCCCUGAUACCGCCGGCCUUGAGGGGGAUAGGGGCGUGCGGAACUUCGGGUGGAGCGGUGAAAUGCGUAGAUAUCUGAAGGAACACCGGUGGCGAAGGCGGCACGCUGGGUCCCUACUGACGCUGAGGCGCGAAAGCCAGGGGAGCGAACGGG